GACGAACGCUGGCGGCGUGCCUAAUACAUGCAAGUCGAGCGGGCUUAUUCGAGUAGCUUGCUAUUUGGAUAAGUCAGCGGCGGACGGGUGAGUAACACGUGGGUAAUCUGCCUCGUAGUCUGGGAUAACAAGCCGAAAGGUUUGCUAAUACCGGAUGAGUUCAUGUUAUUGCAUAGUGACAUGAAGAAAGGGGAGACCCGCUAUGAGAUGAGCCCGCGUCCCAUUAGCUAGUUGGUGGGGUAAAGGCCUACCAAGGCGACGAUGGGUAGCCGGCCUGAGAGGGUGGACGGCCACACUGGGACUGAGACACGGCCCAGACUCCUACGGGGGGCAGCAGUAGGGAAUCUUCGGCAAUGGGCGGAAGCCUGACCGAGCGACGCCGCGUGAGGGACGAAGGCCUUCGGGUUGUAAACCUCUGUCUGGGGGACGAGUAAGGACGGUACCCCGGGACGGAACCGGCCCGGACUAACUACGUCGCCGACGCACGCCGACGGUAAGUAGUACUACUACU
This 511-nucleotide ribosomal RNA is filed under the name uncultured bacterium. RNAcentral's name for it is "bacterial SSU rRNA". It matches the Rfam family "Bacterial small subunit ribosomal RNA", at positions 36 to 538 of the family's 1533-position model. The record is from RNAcentral.